GAUGAACGCUGGCGGCGUGCCUAAUACAUGCAAGUCGAGCGAACGGACGAGAAGCUUGCUUCUCUGAUGUUAGCGGCGGACGGGUGAGUAACACGUGGAUAACCUACCUAUAAGACUGGGAUAACUUCGGGAAACCGGAGCUAAUACCGGAUAAUAUUUUGAACCGCAUGGUUCAAAAGUGAAAGACGGUCUUGCUGUCACUUAUAGAUGGAUCCGCGCUGCAUUAGCUAGUUGGUAAGGUAACGGCUUACCAAGGCAACGAUGCAUAGCCGACCUGAGAGGGUGAUCGGCCACACUGGAACUGAGACACGGUCCAGACUCCUACGGGAGGCAGCAGUAGGGAAUCUUCCGCAAUGGGCGAAAGCCUGACGGAGCAACGCCGCGUGAGUGAUGAAGGUCUUCGGAUCGUAAAACUCUGUUAUUAGGGAAGAACAUAUGUGUAAGUAACUGUGCACAUCUUGACGGUACCUAAUCAGAAAGCCACGGCUAACUACGUGCCAGCAGCCGCGGUAAUACGUAGGUGGCAAGCGUUAUCCGGAAUUAUUGGGCGUAAAGCGCGCGUAGGCGGUUUUUUAAGUCUGAUGUGAAAGCCCACGGCUCAACCGUGGAGGGUCAUUGGAAACUGGAAAACUUGAGUGCAGAAGAGGAAAGUGGAAUUCCAUGUGUAGCGGUGAAAUGCGCAGAGAUAUGGAGGAACACCAGUGGCGAAGGCGACUUUCUGGUCUGUAACUGACGCUGAUGUGCGAAAGCGUGGGGAUCAAACAGGAUUAGAUACCCUGGUAGUCCACGCCGUAAACGAUGAGUGCUAAGUGUUAGGGGGUUUCCGCCCCUUAGUGCUGCAGCUAACGCAUUAAGCACUCCGCCUGGGGAGUACGACCGCAAGGUUGAAACUCAAAGGAAUUGACGGGGACCCGCACAAGCGGUGGAGCAUGUGGUUUAAUUCGAAGCAACGCGAAGAACCUUACCAAAUCUUGACAUCCUUUGACAACUCUAGAGAUAGAGCCUUCCCCUUCGGGGGACAAAGUGACAGGUGGUGCAUGGUUGUCGUCAGCUCGUGUCGUGAGAUGUUGGGUUAAGUCCCGCAACGAGCGCAACCCUUAAGCUUAGUUGCCAUCAUUAAGUUGGGCACUCUAAGUUGACUGCCGGUGACAAACCGGAGGAAGGUGGGGAUGACGUCAAAUCAUCAUGCCCCUUAUGAUUUGGGCUACACACGUGCUACAAUGGACAAUACAAAGGGCAGCGAAACCGCGAGGUCAAGCAAAUCCCAUAAAGUUGUUCUCAGUUCGGAUUGUAGUCUGCAACUCGACUACAUGAAGCUGGAAUCGCUAGUAAUCGUAGAUCGGCAUGCUACGGUGAAUACGUUCCCGGGUCU
This 1372-nucleotide ribosomal RNA is filed under the name uncultured bacterium. RNAcentral's name for it is "bacterial SSU rRNA". It matches the Rfam family "Bacterial small subunit ribosomal RNA", at positions 28 to 1381 of the family's 1533-position model. The record is from RNAcentral.